Molecule: ribosomal RNA, 253 nt
Filed under: uncultured bacterium
Lineage: Bacteria
Description: partial 16S ribosomal RNA
Rfam family: Bacterial small subunit ribosomal RNA
Source: RNAcentral
UACGGGGGGGGCAAGCGUUGUUCGGAAUUACUGGGCGUAAAGGGCUCGUAGGCGGCCAACUAAGUCGGACGUGAAAUCCCCAGGCUCAACCUGGGAACUGCGUCCGAUACUGGAUGGCUUGAGUGUGGGAGAGGGAUGCGGAAUUCCAGGUGUAGCGGUGAAAUGCGUAGAUAUCUGGAGGAACACCGGUGGCGAAGGCGGCAUCCUGGACCAUUACUGACACUGAAUAGCGAAAGCCAGGGGAGCAAACGGG